This 253-nucleotide ribosomal RNA is filed under the name uncultured bacterium. Its description in RNAcentral is "partial 16S ribosomal RNA". It matches the Rfam family "Bacterial small subunit ribosomal RNA", at positions 524 to 776 of the family's 1533-position model. The record is from RNAcentral.
UACGUAGGGUGCAAGCGUUAAUCGGAAUUACUGGGCGUAAAGCGUGCGCAGGCGGUGCUGUAAGACAGAUGUGAAAUCCCCGGGCUCAACCUGGGAACUGCAUUUGUGACUGCAUCGCUAGAGUACGGCAGAGGGGGAUGGAAUUCCGCGUGUAGCAGUGAAAUGCGUAGAUAUGCGGAGGAACACCGAUGGCGAAGGCAAUCCCCUGGGCCUGUACUGACGCUCAUGCACGAAAGCGUGGGGAGCAAACAGG